This 410-nucleotide ribosomal RNA is filed under the name uncultured microorganism. Its description in RNAcentral is "bacterial SSU rRNA". It matches the Rfam family "Archaeal small subunit ribosomal RNA", at positions 330 to 745 of the family's 1478-position model. The record is from RNAcentral.
GCGCAGCAGGCGCGAAUACUUUACAAUGUGCGAAAGCACGAUAAGGGAACUCUGAGUGCCUCCUAAGGAGGCUGUUCUGAUGUCUAAAAAGCAACAGAAGUAAGGGCUGGGUAAGACCGGUGCCAGCCGCCGCGGUAACACCGGCAGCCCAAGUGGUAGCCACGUUUAUUGGGUCUAAAGCGUUCGUAGCCGGCCAGGUAAGUUCCUUGGUAAAUUUAGCCGCUUAACGGUUAAGCUUUCGGGGAAUACUGCUUGGCUUGGGACUGGGAGAGGUCAGAGGUACUCCGGGGGUAGGGGUGAAAUCUAUUAAUCCCUGGGGGACCACCGGUAGCGAAGGCGUCUGACCAGACCAGGUCCGACGGUGAGGGACGAAGGCUAGGGGCGCGAACCGGAUUAGAUACCCGGGUAGU